RNAcentral lists this ribosomal RNA (301 nucleotides) under Mesorhizobium huakuii. Its description in RNAcentral is "bacterial SSU rRNA". It matches the Rfam family "Bacterial small subunit ribosomal RNA", at positions 27 to 358 of the family's 1533-position model. Lineage: Bacteria; Pseudomonadati; Pseudomonadota; Alphaproteobacteria; Hyphomicrobiales; Phyllobacteriaceae. The record is from RNAcentral.
GAACGAACGCUGGCGGCAGGCUUAACACAUGCAAGUCGAGCGCCUCGCAAGAGGAGCGGCAGACGGGUGAGUAACGCGUGGGAAUCUACCCAUCUCUACGGAACAACUCCGGGAAACUGGAGCUAAUACCGUAUACGUCCUUCGGGAGAAAGAUUUAUCGGAGAUGGAUGAGCCCGCGUUGGAUUAGCUAGUUGGUGGGGUAAUGGCCUACCAAGGCGACGAUCCAUAGCUGGUCUGAGAGGAUGAUCAGCCACACUGGGACUGAGACACGGCCCAGACUCCUACGGGAGGCAGCAGUGGG